RNAcentral lists this ribosomal RNA (103 nucleotides) under Lepisosteus oculatus (spotted gar). Lineage: Eukaryota; Metazoa; Chordata; Actinopteri; Semionotiformes; Lepisosteidae. The record is from RNAcentral.
GCCAGCAGGCAUAUCACCCUGCAGCCCACUGAAGCUCAGCAGGUGUGAGCCUGGUCAGUACCUGGAUGGGAGACCUCCUGGGAAGCUAAGGUUGCUGCUGGAA